RNAcentral lists this ribosomal RNA (363 nucleotides) under uncultured bacterium. RNAcentral's name for it is "partial 16S ribosomal RNA". It matches the Rfam family "Bacterial small subunit ribosomal RNA", at positions 338 to 698 of the family's 1533-position model. The record is from RNAcentral.
CCUACGGGUGGCAGCAGUGAGGAAUAUUGGUCAAUGGACGGAAGUCUGAACCAGCCAUGCCGCGUGCAGGAAGACGGCUCUAUGAGUUGUAAACUGCUUUUGUACAAGGGUAAACCUUAAUACGUGUAUUCUGCUGAAAGUACUUUACGAAUAAGGAUCGGCUAACCCCGUGCCAGCCGCCGCGGUAAUAUGGAGGAUCCAAGCGUUAACCGGAUUUAUUGGGUUUAAAGGGUGCGUAGGCGGGUGGAUCAGUUGGAGGUGAAAUGUCCGCGCUUAACUCGGGAACUGCCUUGGAUACUGUUGGGCUAGAGAGUGGAUGCGGUAGGCAGAAUGUAUGGUGUAGCGGUGAAAUGCGUAGAGAUC